AUUGAACGCUGGCGGCAGGCCUAACACAUGCAAGUCGAGCGAGCGGCGGACGGGUGAGUAAUGUAUGGGGACUGCCCGAUAGAGGGGGAUAACUACUGGAAACGGUAGCUAAUACCGCAUACUAUCGGAUAACCCAUAUGGUAUUAGCUAGUAGGUGAGGUAAUGGCUCACCUAGGCGACGAUCCCUAGCUGGUCUGAGAGGAUGAUCAGAAACACUGGGACUGAGACACGGCCCAGACGCCAACGGAGGCAGCAGUGGGGAAAAUUGCACAAUGGGCGCAAGCCUGAUACAGCCAUGCCGCGUGUAUGAUGAAGGCCUUCGGGUUGUAAAGUACUUUUGGCAGAGAAGCGGUAUCUGCAGAAUAAGCACCGGAUAACUACGUGCCAGCCGCCGCGGUAAUAC
Molecule: ribosomal RNA, 403 nt
Filed under: uncultured bacterium
Lineage: Bacteria
Description: partial 16S ribosomal RNA
Rfam family: Bacterial small subunit ribosomal RNA
Source: RNAcentral